Calidris pugnax (ruff) is the source of this 262-nucleotide long non-coding RNA. RefSeq lists it as uncharacterized. The record is from RefSeq and is a predicted model, not a curated record. Lineage: Eukaryota; Metazoa; Chordata; Aves; Charadriiformes; Scolopacidae. The transcript is spliced from 3 exons.
AAUGGCAUCGGGAUAGCUAAAAUAAAACUGCAUCAGCAAGAAAACCUCCUGCCAUUUCAUCUUGCUCACACCUUCCAGGGAGACAGCAUUUCCUGACUUCGUUGAGGGUAAUUUUUCCUGUACCAGAAGCAUUGCCUCUGUUUGCAAAAGAGGCUCUCCAGGCAUCCAGGUUGUUCACUUGGGAUUGUUUCCUUGGCAUUUGGGACCCAGAUUUUCGCUGUUCUUGCACCAUCUCUCUUCACGCCACUGGUUAUGUAUGUGU